GGCGGCGUGUUAACACAUGCAAGUCGCACGAGAACGCUUCAGCUUGCUGAAGUUAGUAAAGUGGCGCACGGGUGAGUAACACGUGGGUAAUCUUCCCCCGAAUUGGGGAUAACAUUGCGAAAGCGAUGCUAAUACCGAAUAAUAUCUUUAUUGCUCAGGCAUUGAAGAUCAAAGGUGGCCUCUACAUGUAAGCUACUGUUUGGGGAUGAGCCCGCGUACCAUUAGCUUGUUGGUAGGGUAACGGCCUACCAAGGCCGCGAUGGUUAGCUGGUCUGAGAGGAUGAUCAGCCACACUGGAACUGACACACGGUCCAGACUCCUACGGGAGGCAGCAGUGAGGAAUUUUGCGCAAUGGGGGAAACCCUGACGCAGCAACGCCGCGUGAGUGAUGAAGGCUUUAGGGUCGUAAAGCUCUGUCAAGUGGGAAGAAACCACUUGGUGCUAAUACCACCAUGUGUUGACGGUACCACUGAAGGAAGCACCGGCUAACUCCGUGCCAGCAGCCGCGGUAAUACGGGGGGUGCAAGCGUUAUUCGGAAUUACUGGGCGUAAAGAGCGCGUAGGCGGUCUUUUAAGUCAGGUGUGAAAGCCCGGGGCUCAACCCCGGAAGUGCACUUGAAACUGAGAGACUUGAGUAUGGGAGAGGGAAGUGGAAUUCCUGGUGUAGAGGUGAAAUUCGUAGAUAUCAGGAGGAACACCGGUGGCGAAGGCGACUUCCUGGACCAAUACUGACGCUGAGGCGCGAAGGCGUGGGGAGCGAACAGGAUUAGAUACCCUGGUAGUCCACGCAGUAAACGUUGUACACUAAGUGUCACGGGUAUUGACCCCUGUGGUGCUGCAGCUAACGCAUUAAGUGUUCCGCCUGGGAAGUACGGCCGCAAGGCUAAAACUCAAAGGAAUUGCCGGGGCCCGCACAAGCGGUGGAGCAUGUGGUUUAAUUCGACGCAACGCGAAGAACCUUACCUGGAUUUGACAUCCCGGGAAUCCUUUGGAAACACAGGAGUGCCCUUCGGGGAGCCCGGUGACAGGUGCUGCAUGGCUGUCGUCAGCUCGUGUCGUGAGAUGUUCGGUUAAGUCCGGCAACGAGCGCAACCCCUAUUGUUAGUUGCCAUCAUUAAGUUGGGCACUUUAGCAAGACUCCCGGUGUCAAACCGGCGGAAGAUGGGGAUGACGUCAAGUCCUCAUGGCCCUUAUGGUUGGGGCUACACACGUACUACAAUGGCUACUACAGAGGGCAGCGAGACCGCGAGGUGGAGCAAAUCCCAGAAAAGUAGCCCAAGUUCGGAUUGGAGUCUGCAACUCGACUCCAUGAAGUUGGAAUCGCUAGUAAUCGCAGAUCAGCAUGCUGCGGUGAAUACGUUCCCGGGCCUUGUACACACCGCCCGUCACACCACGAAAGUUGGUUGGACCCGAAGUCAUUUGCCUAACCUUUCGAGGAUGCAGGCGCCUAAGGUAUG
RNAcentral lists this ribosomal RNA (1457 nucleotides) under uncultured prokaryote. Its description in RNAcentral is "partial 16S ribosomal RNA". It matches the Rfam family "Bacterial small subunit ribosomal RNA". The record is from RNAcentral.